GACUUUGAUCGACUCCACCAUCUACCCACGCAAGCCUAUUCCGUCAAGAAAAGAUCUGUCUCCUCUAGAAUUUUCAUCUGUCGUGCUGAGAGAAGGAGUGAUUUCUUAUUCUACAGAUCAUAUGCUGUCAAGGAUCUUCGUUCCUUAACAGUUGAUCUUUGAUUUUCUUUUUUUAAAUCCGAUGUUGGUAAAGACCUAGUUCUUUAUCGAUGGAUCUGUUUGGUUAAAAGAUUAAGAGCCCUAAUCAGAGUAGUUUCUUAACUACCACGAUCCGGAUUCUUAUCAUCUUCUUGGAUUUUCUCACG
Molecule: long non-coding RNA, 305 nt
Filed under: Elaeis guineensis (African oil palm)
Lineage: Eukaryota; Viridiplantae; Streptophyta; Magnoliopsida; Arecales; Arecaceae
Description: long non-coding RNA (EGUI_LNC045385)
Source: RNAcentral